This 79-nucleotide transfer RNA is filed under the name Desmarestia viridis. Its description in RNAcentral is "tRNA-Tyr". The record is from RNAcentral. Lineage: Eukaryota; Phaeophyceae; Desmarestiales; Desmarestiaceae.
AUCUAAUGAUCUUUCAGCUAUUAGGUAAGUAUGGGUAUUAACUUAUAAAGUUGUUGCAGGUUCGAUCCCUGUUUUACCU